AGCCACUCACUCGUCCGAUGGGCAUGUGACGAAUACAUAAAUUUCUUUUCUUUCAUAAAAGUAGAUGUUCUAAGUAAAACCCUUCUAUUAUUCUUCCUUGAGAUUAAAAUUUCGAUGUCAGUUUCCUCCUCUAAAUUCCCAAGAUGGCCUCCUUCCCCAAGUAAUAAGCUUUCGAGGUGCAUGUAAUAUGGAUAGGAGACUGUAUAAAAGCUCCUCUGUUCUGCCCUGGCCAGUUGAUUGCCUACCGCUGCAACCAACCAAGAAUUUUUGAGCUUCACAGUUUUAUUCCAAGGUCAUCAUCAGCAAGCUGGAUAUGACUAAUUUAAAGCAACAUCUUCGUCACCUAUGGCAACCAUUGAAGAAGCAACUUCCACUUCCCAUAGAGCGGUAUUAUUGAAAGUCUGCGCAGAAGGAUCAAUGGGUUGAACUUGAACUUGAACUGAAGGUGCAACCAUGUUAUUAGGCUGCUGCUGAUUUUGUUGAUUGAUCAUGAAAAGAUUUUCAUUUUCAUUGAUCAAAGAAUCCAGAAACGAAGAGAAAGUAUCCUCAUUUCCAUUUCCGAUGUAAUUGUAUUCUGUAUUGCUUGGUCCUUGGUCACUUUGUAAACCCAUAACCAGACCAUUACAAUUAGGCCAGUUACCGUUACCAUCUUCGACAACUAUUGGGUUUUGAUAACGUUCUAGGUUAGUAAUAUUGAAAUUUUUGCUCA
This is a long non-coding RNA of Hevea brasiliensis (rubber tree), 709 nucleotides long. RefSeq lists it as uncharacterized. NCBI's taxonomy places the organism in Eukaryota, Viridiplantae, Streptophyta, Magnoliopsida, Malpighiales, Euphorbiaceae. The record is from RefSeq and is a predicted model, not a curated record. The transcript has 2 exons.